Molecule: long non-coding RNA, 339 nt
Organism: Priapulus caudatus
Lineage: Eukaryota; Metazoa; Priapulida; Priapulimorpha; Priapulimorphida; Priapulidae
Exons: 3
Source: RefSeq, a predicted model, not a curated record
AACCUUUUUAGCUGAGCCGGCGAACUGCAAGAGUCGAUGUCGGGAAAACCAAUGGUGUAGUAACAAGCCAACAGACGUCACAUGCGUGAACAUGGACUGCCCAGACACACAUGGACCGACGUGUACAAUAGAGAAUCCACGACCAUUCGCCGCGCAAAUACGGGAAUUUGGUGCGUUUUCCGCUGAUAUAGUCUGGGAGGCAGGAACGCAGAGUGGAAUUGGCAUCAUUAAAGAAUAUGUCGUACUCGUGCAGACCGAAGGAACCGCCGCGCCGGUAGAAAAAUGCAUGCAACCAAACCGAGUGGGCGAAACGACGAAGUUGUGCAUGCUACGUUCUAU